RNAcentral lists this ribosomal RNA (299 nucleotides) under Clostridioides difficile. RNAcentral's name for it is "partial 23S ribosomal RNA". It matches the Rfam family "Bacterial large subunit ribosomal RNA", at positions 1189 to 1494 of the family's 2925-position model. The record is from RNAcentral. Lineage: Bacteria; Bacillati; Bacillota; Clostridia; Peptostreptococcales; Peptostreptococcaceae.
UACUACCGAAGCUACGGCAUCAGUAAUGAUGGGUAGGGGAGCUUCCCAUACGGGUUGAAGCAUGACCGUAAGGACAUGUGGACAGUAUGGGAGUGAGAAUGUUGGCAUGAGUAGCGAGAUGUGGGUGGGAAUCCCACAGGCCGUAAACCCAAGGUUUCCAGGGGAAGGUUCGUCCACCCUGGGUUAGUCGGGACCUAAGCUGAGGCCGAAAGGCGUAGGUGAUGGACAACAGGUUGAUAUUCCUGUACUACCGAUAACCGGUUGAGAGAAGGGAUGACACAGUAGGAUAAGCUAAGCAC